GGAGCGGAUCUGGCCUGGUGGCCGGCCUGGACUUCAAAUCCAGUGUGAGGCAGUGAUCCUGUCUUAGGUGUGUUCGAUUCGCACACGUUCC
Molecule: transfer RNA, 91 nt
Filed under: human gut metagenome
Description: Selenocysteine transfer RNA
Rfam family: Selenocysteine transfer RNA
Source: RNAcentral